Molecule: long non-coding RNA, 564 nt
Filed under: Mytilus galloprovincialis (Mediterranean mussel)
Lineage: Eukaryota; Metazoa; Mollusca; Bivalvia; Mytilida; Mytilidae
Source: RNAcentral
AAAAAAAUCGAAAACAAUGUAAUUAUCCGUCCUCGAGUAUCAGUCAACAGCCCUUACCAAAAAAUAUUGUAUUAAAUUGCAAUGAAUUAUGGAUCUUACAAAACUGGAACAUAAGACGUAGUAAGCAUGCUGGCGAACGUGAGAUCAGACUUUUUUGAUUCUGUAAUUCUAUUUCAAAGUCAUAAUAAACAGGUGACCGGUGAAAUAUAAUGUCAUUCCAAUUCUUGAACCAAUGCAUACAGACAUCAUAAACUUAGUCUCUCUGCGCGAUUUGAUCAUUUUUUUUGCAUAAAUUUUGUAUAAACGUUAUUUGUUUUUCAAUCGGUCAGUGUUGUGAAAAUAAGGCAGGUAAUUAAAGUUCGUGUUUUGAUUUUGAAGCCGAAGUUUAACGAUUGUCACCUGUUUGUCAACAAUCCACCAAAAAGCAUGGAUAUUGAGAACGUGUUUAACAUGUACAAUCAGAUAAUAGUUUAUUUUAAGGACAUCCAUGCGUAUUGCGAUCACCAGAUUUUUACGAGAUGGGUCACACCGGAGGUCACUUUGCAUACGGAAAAUAUGUCGGGG